GAUGGACGCUGGCGGCGUGCCCAAUACAUGCAAGUCGAGCGAACGGACGAGAAGCUUGCUUCUCUGAUGUUAGCGGCGGACGGGUGAGUAACACGUGGAUAACCUACCUAUAAGACUGGGAUAACUUCGGGAAACCGGAGCUAAUACUGGAUAAUAUUUUGAACCGCAUGGUUCAAAAGUGAAAGACGGUCUUGCUGUCACUUAUAGAUGGAUCCGCGCUGCAUUAGCUAGUUGGUAAGGUAACGGCUUACCAAGGCAACGAUGCAUAGCCGACCUGAGAGGGUGAUCGGCCACACUGGAACUGAGACACGGUCCAGACUCCUACGGGAGGCAGCAGUAGGGAAUCUUCCGCAAUGGGCGAAAGCCUGACGGAGCAACGCCGCGUGAGUGAUGAAGGUCUUCGGAUCGUAAAACUCUGUUAUUAGGGAAGAACAUAUGUGUAAGUAACUGUGCACAUCUUGACGGUACCUAAUCAGAAAGCCACGGCUAACUACGUG
Molecule: ribosomal RNA, 497 nt
Filed under: uncultured bacterium
Lineage: Bacteria
Description: partial 16S ribosomal RNA
Rfam family: Bacterial small subunit ribosomal RNA
Source: RNAcentral